Molecule: ribosomal RNA, 254 nt
Filed under: uncultured bacterium
Lineage: Bacteria
Description: partial 16S ribosomal RNA
Rfam family: Bacterial small subunit ribosomal RNA
Source: RNAcentral
UACGUAGGGGGCAAGCGUUGUCCGGAUUUAUUGGGCGUAAAGGGCGCGUAGGCGGCGGGGUCAGUCGGGUGUGAAAUCUUGGGGCUUAACCCCGAAACGGCACUCGAAACUGCCCGGCUGGAGGGCCGGAGGGGAGAUCGGAAUUCACGGUGUAGCAGUGAAAUGCGUAGAGAUCGUGAGGAAGACCCGUGGCGAAGGCGGAUCUCUGGACGGCUAACUGACGCUGAGGCGCGAAGGCCAGGGGAGCAAACGGG